AGCAGCUCCUGAAGUCAGGGUUAACCGGGAAGGCCUAAUAGGUCUUUGCUAGACACCCCUAAAACUGCCCCCUGCGCGAUUUUCCCAUCCCCUUUUUCUCCCCUUUCCCUCCGGCACCCCACAGCCCUCCCUUUCCUGCCCAGCCCUUCCCUCUGGGCCGCCUCUUCACUGAGUCAUUUCCCCUUCUCCGCCCCAAAGAUCUUGGCUUUCUCUUGGAAUCCCUUCCCCUAUGGCAGGAAGUAGAGGAAAGGCAAAGUAGCUUUGGGAACCAGGUGAGCGUUUUCCCCAGCGAGGAUGAGAAACGCCUCCCCACACCCCCUGAAACCCCUGAAUUCGGAAGGACGGGAAAUGCUGGGAGUUCCCUUGAGCCGAGCGUAGGAGGUGCCACGUCCCGCCUGGUGUCUCCUGGGACUUAAGGCGGGAAGCGACGGUCCAGUUGGGCGGACUUGUGGGGCUGCUACCCACUCCGGCGCAGUGAGCUCAGCGCGCAGGGGAGGGACCUCGCUGCCACGAACCUCCAGAAGCCAACCGUUGGGAGGAGAGAGGAAAAAGCUCCGAGGGGUGCAUGUGCAGGGUGCGUGCGCGUGUAAGUGGAGUGGUACGUGUAGUUAGAAGGCAUGCGUGUGUAUGAAGGGGUGUAGAGAGGUGCGCGUGUGAGGAGGCGAGCGUGCGCGGGAAUACUUGUGGGCGUGUGGAGAUGUGUGGGAGAGAUGCGAAGAUGUGAUUUACACAGGUGCGGACGAAGGAAUGUGCGAGUGGUGACCUGGAGAUGCGUUCCAGUGUGGAGACUCACUAAGAAGCCCGUGGGGGAUGGGCGUGUGUGCACGUGGAGGUGUGUAUGAGGGGAUAUAGAUGUAUUAAUAUGUAUGCGUGAGCAUGUAGUGCGUACGUGCGUGGGGGUCCGUGCGUGGGGGUGCGUGCGUGCGUUGGGUGGUGCGUGCGUGGUGGGGACGCGAGAGCUGGAAGGAAGGCAGACGUAGCGGAACGCGAGAGCCAGGCAUACCUAGUUGUGCUGUCAGCCAAAGCGAACCAAGUUCAUCCUGUAAAGUCACAUGCCUGAAGUUUUGGGGUACAUGUGAAGAACAUGCAAGAUUGUUGCAUAGGUACACACAUGACAGUGUGAUUUGCUGCCUUCCUCCCCUUCACCUAUAUCUGGCAUUUCUCCCCAUGCUAUCUCUCUCCGACUCCCCACUCCCCACUGUCCCUCCCUUAAUUCCCCCCAACAGACCCCAGUGUGUAGUACUCCCCUCCCAAUGUCCAUGUGCUCUCAUUGUUCAACCCCCGUCUAUGAGUGAGAACAUGUGGUGUUUGAUUUUCUGUUCUUGUGUUAGUUUGCUGAGAAUGAUGGUUUCCAGGUUCAUCCAUGUCCCUACAAAGGACACGAACUCAUCGUUUUUGAUGGCUGCAUAGUAUUCCACAUUUUCCCUGUCCAGUCUAUCAUCGAUGGGCAUUUGAGUUGGUUCCCAGGUCUUUGCUAUUGUAAAUUGUGCUGCAAUGAACAUUUGUGUGCAUGUCUCCUUAUAGUAGAACAAUUUAUAAUCCUUUGGGUAUAUACCCAGUAAUGGGAAUGCUGGGUCAAAUGGAAUUUCUAUUUCUAGGUCCUUGAGGAAUCGCCACACUGUCUUCCACAAUGGUUGAACUAAUUUACAUGCCCACCAACAGUGUAAAAGUGUUCCUAUUUCUCCACAUCCUCUCCAGCAUCUCUUGUCUCCAGAUUUUUUUAAUGAUCUCCAUUCUAAUUGGUGUGAGAUGGUAUCUCAAUGUAGUUUUGAUGUGCAUUUCUCUAAUGACCAGUGAUGAUAAACAUUUCUUCAGAUGCUUGUUGGCCUCAUGUAUGUCUUCUUUUGUAAAGCGUCUGUUCAUAUCCUUCGCCCACUUUUGAAUGGGCUUGUUUGUUUUUUUCUUG
This 1906-nucleotide long non-coding RNA is filed under the name Callithrix jacchus (white-tufted-ear marmoset). RNAcentral describes it as "lncRNA (ENSCJAG00000055006.2)". The record is from RNAcentral. Lineage: Eukaryota; Metazoa; Chordata; Mammalia; Primates; Cebidae.